AUUUAAGGACAAGACAAUGCUCCUCAACUCUUACUGUACAACCGACACAAAAUUGUUAUGUGUAUAAACUAACGACCUCCAAGUUGGAGUGAUAUACACCUAAAAGAGUUAGGGACAGCAUCAAUACACAAACUAAAUGGCUCUAACAAUCUUUUCCCUCAACGCCAAAGGGCUCAAUUCACCACAUAAAAGGAGAUUAGGUCUAGCCGAAAGCAAAGAAACGUAGUUCACGUAGCUUUCUACCAAGGAACACACUUUCUCAGAAACCAAAUGCCUAGAUUUUCAUCUAAAUUCUACCCUAUUGGAUACCAUGUAGGCUACGCAAAAAAGAAGAGAGGCGUAUCAAUAUUGAUCAGCAAGGACGUCUCCUUCACACUUCAUAAGAAAGUAGGGGACAAGGAAGGGAGAUACCUUUUAAUACAGUGUCAGAUAAAUAAUGAACCGUACAUGCUUCUGAAUGUCUACGGUCCCCACGAAAAC
Non-coding RNA from Pelobates cultripes (western spadefoot toad), 480 nucleotides. The record is from the annotation of a GenBank genome assembly. NCBI's taxonomy places the organism in Eukaryota, Metazoa, Chordata, Amphibia, Anura, Pelobatidae.